CAGUCGCCGCGGUAAUACGAACCGUGCGAACGUUAUUCGGAAUUACUGGGCGUAAAGGGUACGUAGGUGGUCUUUUAAGCGUAGGGUAUAAGGCAAUGGCUCAACCAUUGUUCGCCCUAUGAACUGGAAGGCUUGAGUGCAGGAGAGGAAAGCGGAAUUCCUAGUGCAGCGGUGGAAUGCAUAGAUAUUAGGAGGAACAUCAGCGGCGAAGGCGGCUUUCUGGACUGCAACUGACACUGAGGUACGAAAGCGUGGGGAGCAAACAGGAUUAGAUACCCGAGUAGUCCCUGUCUCUUAUACA
This 301-nucleotide ribosomal RNA is filed under the name uncultured bacterium. RNAcentral describes it as "partial 16S ribosomal RNA". It matches the Rfam family "Bacterial small subunit ribosomal RNA", at positions 509 to 808 of the family's 1533-position model. The record is from RNAcentral.